This 471-nucleotide ribosomal RNA is filed under the name uncultured bacterium. Its description in RNAcentral is "bacterial SSU rRNA". It matches the Rfam family "Bacterial small subunit ribosomal RNA", at positions 355 to 825 of the family's 1533-position model. The record is from RNAcentral.
UGGGGAAUAUUGGACAAUGGGCGAAAGCCUGAUCCAGCCAUGCCGCGUGUGUGAAGAAGGUCUUCGGAUUGUAAAGCACUUUAAGUUGGGAGGAAGGGUUGUAGAUUAAUACUCUGCAAUUUUGACGUUACCGACAGAAUAAGCACCGGCUAACUCUGUGCCAGCAGCCGCGGUAAUACAGAGGGUGCAAGCGUUAAUCGGAAUUACUGGGCGUAAAGCGCGCGUAGGUGGUUUGUUAAGUUGGAUGUGAAAUCCCCGGGCUCAACCUGGGAACUGCAUUCAAAACUGACUGACUAGAGUAUGGUAGAGGGUGGUGGAAUUUCCUGUGUAGCGGUGAAAUGCGUAGAUAUAGGAAGGAACACCAGUGGCGAAGGCGACCACCUGGACUAAUACUGACACUGAGUGCGAAAGCGUGGGGAGCAAACAGGAUUAGAUACCCAGGUAGUCCCUGAGCGGGCUGGCAAGGCGCAU